RNAcentral lists this long non-coding RNA (248 nucleotides) under Bos taurus (domestic cattle). Its description in RNAcentral is "long non-coding RNA NONBTAT001234". Lineage: Eukaryota; Metazoa; Chordata; Mammalia; Artiodactyla; Bovidae. The record is from RNAcentral.
UGAUAAACAUCUGUGUACUAAGUUAGUUUAAAGCUAGGGACCAGACUCUGGAACUGACUAACAGCAGCCAGGUCUCCAGAUGGGACUUUAGCCAGAUUAGGAAACCUAGAGUGAGCUAUGCCUGUUAACCGAGUUAUUACUCAGCCUUCUGGAGCCAUGUCAUUUUGAUAUAAUUCUCUAGAGAGCUCGAAGUGACUAGAAAUUACCUGUAACUUAAGUUCCCAGAAUGAAAAUGAGUGGUUACAUCU